RNAcentral lists this ribosomal RNA (374 nucleotides) under Clostridioides difficile. RNAcentral's name for it is "bacterial SSU rRNA". It matches the Rfam family "Bacterial small subunit ribosomal RNA", at positions 277 to 669 of the family's 1533-position model. Lineage: Bacteria; Bacillati; Bacillota; Clostridia; Peptostreptococcales; Peptostreptococcaceae. The record is from RNAcentral.
CGAUCAGUAGCCGACCUGAGAGGGUGAUCGGCCACAUUGGAACUGAGACACGGUCCAAACUCCUACGGGAGGCAGCAGUGGGGAAUAUUGCACAAUGGGCGAAAGCCUGAUGCAGCAACGCCGCGUGCGUGAUGAAGGCCUUCGGGUCGUAAAACUCUGUCCUCAAGGAAGAUAAUGACGGUACUUGAGGAGGAAGCCCCGGCUAACUACGUGCCAGCAGCCGCGGUAAUACGUAGGGGGCUAGCGUUAUCCGGAUUUACUGGGCGUAAAGGGUGCGUAGGCGGUCUUUCAAGUCAGGAGUGAAAGGCUACGGCUCAACCGUAGUAAGCUCUUGAAACUGGGAGACUUGAGUGCAGGAGAGGAGAGUGGAAUUC